This 443-nucleotide ribosomal RNA is filed under the name Lysobacteraceae bacterium Ri2Ps_5071. RNAcentral's name for it is "bacterial SSU rRNA". It matches the Rfam family "Bacterial small subunit ribosomal RNA", at positions 391 to 825 of the family's 1533-position model. Lineage: Bacteria; Pseudomonadati; Pseudomonadota; Gammaproteobacteria; Lysobacterales; Lysobacteraceae. The record is from RNAcentral.
GCCAUGCCGCGUGGGUGAAGAAGGCCUAUCGGGUUGUAAAGCCCUUUUGUUGGGAAAGAAAAGCUCUCGGUUAAUACCCGAUUGUUCUGACGGUACCCAAAGAAUAAGCACCGGCUAACUUCGUGCCAGCAGCCGCGGUAAUACGAAGGGUGCAAGCGUUACUCGGAAUUACUGGGCGUAAAGCGUGCGUAGGUGGUUGUUUAAGACCGAUGUGAAAUCCCUGGGCUCAACCUGGGAAUUGCAUUGGAUACUGGGCAACUAGAGUGUGGUAGAGGGUGAUGGAAUUCCCGGUGUAGCAGUGAAAUGCGUAGAGAUCGGGAGGAACAUCCGUGGCGAAGGCAAUCCCCUGGACCAACACUGACACUGAGGCACGAAAGCGUGGGGAGCAAACAGGAUUAGAUACCCUGGUAGUCCACGCCCUAAACGAUGCCAACUGGAUGUUG